UACAGAGGAUGCAAGCGUUAUCCGGAAUGAUUGGGCGUAAAGCGUCUGUAGGUGGCUUUUUAAGUCCGCCGUCAAAUCCCAGGGCUCAACUCUGGACAGGCGGUGGAAACUACCAAGCUGGAGUACGGUAGGGGCAGAGGGAAUUUCCGGUGGAGCGGUGAAAUGCGUAGAGAUGUGGAGGAACACCGAUGGCGAAGGCAGCCCCCUGGGUUAACACUGACGCUCAGGCACGAAAGCGUGGGGAGCAAACAGG
RNAcentral lists this ribosomal RNA (253 nucleotides) under uncultured bacterium. RNAcentral's name for it is "partial 16S ribosomal RNA". It matches the Rfam family "Bacterial small subunit ribosomal RNA", at positions 524 to 776 of the family's 1533-position model. The record is from RNAcentral.